AACGAACGCUGGCGGCAUGCCUAACACAUGCAAGUCGAACGAGACCUUCGGGUCUAGUGGCGCACGGGUGCGUAACGCGUGGGAACCUGCCCUUAGGUUCGGAAUAACUCCCCGAAAGGGGUGCUAAUACCGGAUAAUGUCUUCGGACAAAAGAUUUAUCGACUUUGGAUGGGCCGGCGUUGGAUUAGCUAGUUGGUAGGGUAAAAGCCUACCAAGGCGACGAUCCAUAGCUGGUCUGAGAGGAUGAUCAGCCACACUGGGACUGAGACACGGCCCAGACUCCUACGGGAGGCAGCAGUGGGGAAUAUUGGACAAUGGGCGAAAGCCUGAACCAGCUAUGCCGCGUGAGUGAUGAAGGCCUUAGGGUUGUAAAGCUCUUUUACCCGCGAUGAUAAUGACGGUACCGGGAGAAUAAGCACCGGCUAACUCCGUG
Molecule: ribosomal RNA, 433 nt
Filed under: uncultured bacterium
Lineage: Bacteria
Description: partial 16S ribosomal RNA
Rfam family: Bacterial small subunit ribosomal RNA
Source: RNAcentral